CCUUUUCUUUCCAUUAUCUUUUCCUUUUCUCUUGCAUUUUUUCUAGACUUUUUUCUUAUCUUUAUCCUCUCAUUCUCAUACCAAAAUCACCCAGAUAUGACCCCUUGGACCUAGGUGUAGUGCCCCCUUUUUAUAGGAAAGAAGGGCAACACCAUGGGACACCAACUCUUGGCAUCCCUUAUCCAUUACACGCUCCAAUUUAUUUUUUGCAUGAAAACCAAGGGGUCAUGGUGUGGAAUAAGA
RNAcentral lists this long non-coding RNA (243 nucleotides) under Elaeis guineensis (African oil palm). Its description in RNAcentral is "long non-coding RNA (EGUI_LNC012708)". Lineage: Eukaryota; Viridiplantae; Streptophyta; Magnoliopsida; Arecales; Arecaceae. The record is from RNAcentral.